CAGGCCCAGUCCCUCAGUGCCCUGCACAAGGAACAGGACUCAUCUUCUGAGAAGGAUGGAUGCAGCCCCAACAAAUGGGACAAGGACCACAUCCGGUGGCCCAUGAGUGGCGGUCAUGAUCUUCAGCAAGUGGCACCAGAUCCUGGCAGGGCGCACCAGGGUCACCCCAACCAGGAUAACCGGACCGUCAGCCAGAUCCUGAGCGAGCGGUGGUACACCCUGGGGCCCAAUGAGACGCAGAAGUACCACGACCUGGCCUUCCAGGUGAAGGUGGCCCACUUGCAACAAGGACCGAAAGAAGUCCAGCUCAGAGGCCAAGCCCACAAGCCAGGGGCUAGCAGGAGUGUACAAGGGCUCGUGGGAGCAGAGCAUAUCACAGACGGGCACUGCCACUGCCCCUGGGGUGUCCUCUGAACUCCUGUCAGUUGCAGCCCAGACACUCCAGAGCUCGGAUACCAAGGAGCAGCUUCUGUGGGGCAGAACGGCUGCACACAGUCAGGGAACCUGGCUCAGCCUGGCCCAAGCCUUCUCCCACAGGGGGGUACACAGCCUGGAUGGCAGGGAAAUAGACCAUCGGGCACUACAGGAACUGACACAGGUGGUGUCUGGCACUGCAUCAUACUCUGGCCCAAAGCCUUCUACUCAGUAUGGAGCUCCAGGCCACUUUGCAGCCCCUGGUGAGGGAGGUGACCAGUGGGCAGCCCUGCUGCUGCCCACCUAAGCUGCUCAUUCCCAGCACAUGGCCAGCGAGGUCAUAGCGAGUGACGAGGAGCACAUGGUCAUCCAUGAGGAGGAGGGGGUGAUGAUGUCAUUGCUGAUGACGGCUUUAGCACCACUGACACUGAUCUCAAGUUCAAGGAGUGGGUGACCGACUGAGAGUGGGGACAGCUCUGGGGAGGAGCCAGAGGGCAACAAGGGCUUUGGUGGGAAGGUAUUUGCACCUGUCAUUCCUUCUUCCUUUACUCCUGCCGCCCCUUGCUGGAUCCUGAGUCCCCCGGGUCCCCCGAUCCACCUGCAGUUUUUGGCAAAGUCUAUGGUCCCACCCCGUCCUCCUCCUACACAUACUCGGAUGCUUCCUCCUCAACCUUGGCACCCACCUCCUUCUUACUGGGCCCAGGAGCCUUCAAAGCCCAGGAGUCUGGUCAGGGCAGCAGAGCGGGCCCCCUACGGCCCCUACCCCUGGGGAUGGGGGCCCAGGGACGCCUUCCAAGGCGACCUGUUUCCUCCCAAUGGAUCCUGCCACCUUGUGGUGCAAGAGACCUGAAAGUGUGGGCGACCUGGAGCUACCAGGCCCCUCAGUCAUCGCAGUCCCUCCCAAC
This 1319-nucleotide long non-coding RNA is filed under the name Homo sapiens (human). RNAcentral describes it as "non-protein coding lnc-MPLKIP-10:1". Lineage: Eukaryota; Metazoa; Chordata; Mammalia; Primates; Hominidae. The record is from RNAcentral.